This is a long non-coding RNA of Aricia agestis (brown argus), 116 nucleotides long. RefSeq lists it as uncharacterized. NCBI's taxonomy places the organism in Eukaryota, Metazoa, Arthropoda, Insecta, Lepidoptera, Lycaenidae. The transcript is spliced from 3 exons. The record is from RefSeq and is a predicted model, not a curated record.
UUUUCACACUUAGGUAGAGCUCGGCAAGGCUUUAAAUGUACGUGGCGAAAAAAGGAACUAACGCUGUCAUCAUACAAAAACGCCAAUUUUUGGCAGUUCUCCUUUACCAGCAGCGC